AAAGUCGUAACAAGGUUUCCGUAGGUGAACCUGCGGAAGGAUCAUUAAUAAACGGCGAACGCUUUCGAGCUUAGCUUUUAUAUCCUUAUACACCUGUGAACUAUUUGCCUUUGGGCACAAACUUAAACAUAAUGUAAUGAAUGUAAACUAUUAUAACAAAUACAACUUUCAACAACGGAUCUCUUGGCUCUC
RNAcentral lists this unclassified non-coding RNA (192 nucleotides) under Basidiomycota sp. Its description in RNAcentral is "partial contains small subunit ribosomal RNA, internal transcribed spacer 1, and 5.8S ribosomal RNA". The stretch from base 1 to 47 matches the Rfam family "Eukaryotic small subunit ribosomal RNA", at positions 1785 to 1831 of the family's 1831-position model. Lineage: Eukaryota; Fungi; Basidiomycota. The record is from RNAcentral.